UUAAGAUCAUGCUUGAUUGGGAUCCUAAAGGAAAACAGGGUCCUAAAACUCCCCUCCCAGAUAUCGUCACAAUUCACACUCCAAAGGAGGAGGAAGAGUAUGCCCGGCCUGCUUCUGUUUUGGCAACAGCUGAUAUUGAGGUCCCCGUUGCUUGAAAAUGUUUUAAUUGCUUGACUAGAUUUAUAUUCUGAAAUAGCACCUUGAGUAUUUGAUGCCGAAUUCCCAAACCGAUUUUUGUAGUUUCGUUUCUUUUCAACAAACCUUAUCCUUGAGUGCAAGUAUUCAAGCAUAAAUUAUUUUAUAUUCCCCCUCUUCUGAUUGAAUCGUCUUUUUGGGUUU
This 339-nucleotide long non-coding RNA is filed under the name Vigna radiata. RNAcentral describes it as "long non-coding RNA (VRAD_LNC000277)". Lineage: Eukaryota; Viridiplantae; Streptophyta; Magnoliopsida; Fabales; Fabaceae. The record is from RNAcentral.